RNAcentral lists this ribosomal RNA (1070 nucleotides) under Salmonella enterica. RNAcentral's name for it is "partial 23S ribosomal RNA". It matches the Rfam family "Bacterial large subunit ribosomal RNA", at positions 711 to 1773 of the family's 2925-position model. The record is from RNAcentral. Lineage: Bacteria; Pseudomonadati; Pseudomonadota; Gammaproteobacteria; Enterobacterales; Enterobacteriaceae.
AGACCCGAAACCCGGUGAUCUAGCCAUGGGCAGGUUGAAGGUUGGGUAACACUAACUGGAGGACCGAACCGACUAAUGUUGAAAAAUUAGCGGAUGACCUGUGGCUGGGGGUGAAAGGCCAAUCAAACCGGGAGAUAGCUGGUUCUCCCCGAAAGCUAUUUAGGUAGCGCCUCGUGAAUUCAUCUCCGGGGGUAGAGCACUGUUUCGGCUAGGGGGCCAUCCCGGCUUACCAACCCGAUGCAAACUGCGAAUACCGGAGAAUGUUAUCACGGGAGACACACGGCGGGUGCUAACGUCCGUCGUGAAGAGGGAAACAACCCAGACCGCCAGCUAAGGUCCCAAAGUCAUGGUUAAGUGGGAAACGAUGUGGGAAGGCCCAGACAGCCAGGAUGUUGGCUUAGAAGCAGCCAUCAUUUAAAGAAAGCGUAAUAGCUCACUGGUCGAGUCGGCCUGCGCGGAAGAUGUAACGGGGCUAAACCAUGCACCGAAGCUGCGGCAGCGACACUCAGGUGUUGUUGGGUAGGGGAGCGUUCUGUAAGCCUGUGAAGGUGGCCUGUGAGGGUUGCUGGAGGUAUCAGAAGUGCGAAUGCUGACAUAAGUAACGAUAAAGCGGGUGAAAAGCCCGCUCGCCGGAAGACCAAGGGUUCCUGUCCAACGUUAAUCGGGGCAGGGUGAGUCGACCCCUAAGGCGAGGCCGAAAGGCGUAGUCGAUGGGAAACGGGUUAAUAUUCCCGUACUUGGUGUUACUGCGAAGGGGGGACGGAGAAGGCUAUGUUGGCCGGGCGACGGUUGUCCCGGUUUAAGCGUGUAGGUGUGUGUUCCAGGUAAAUCCGGUUCACUUUAACACUGAGGCGUGACGACGAGGCACUACGGUGCUGAAGCAACAAAUGCCCUGCUUCCAGGAAAAGCCUCUAAGCAUCAGGUAACAUCAAAUCGUACCCCAAACCGACACAGGUGGUCAGGUAGAGAAUACCAAGGCGCUUGAGAGAACUCGGGUGAAGGAACUAGGCAAAAUGGUGCCGUAACUUCGGGAGAAGGCACGCUGACAUGUAGGUGAAGUGAUUUACUCA